This 468-nucleotide ribosomal RNA is filed under the name uncultured bacterium. RNAcentral's name for it is "partial 16S ribosomal RNA". It matches the Rfam family "Bacterial small subunit ribosomal RNA", at positions 28 to 507 of the family's 1533-position model. The record is from RNAcentral.
GACGAACGCUGGCGGCGCGCCUAACACAUGCAAGCCGAACGGAGCUGAGAGAAGCUUGCUUUUCUUAGCUUAGUGGCGAACGGGUGAGUAACGCGUGAGUAACCUGCCCUGGAGUGGGGGACAACAGUUGGAAACGACUGCUAAUACCGCAUAAGCCCACGAUCCGGCAUCGGAUUGAGGGAAAAGGAUUUAUUCGCUUCAGGAUGGACUCGCGUCCAAUUAGCUAGUUGGUGAGGUAACGGCCCACCAAGGCGACGAUUGGUAGCCGGACUGAGAGGUUGAACGGCCACAUUGGGACUGAGACACGGCCCAGACUCCUACGGGAGGCAGCAGUGGGGGAUAUUGCACAAUGGGGGAAACCCUGAUGCAGCGACGCCGCGUGGAGGAAGAAGGUUUUCGGAUUGUAAACUCCUGUCGUUAGGGACGAUAAUGACGGUACCUAACAAGAAAGCACCGGCUAACUACGUG